GAUGAACGCUGGCGGCGUGCCUAAUACAUGCAAGUCGAGCGAACAGACGAGGGGCUUGCUCCUCUGACGUUAGCGGCGGACGGGUGAGUAACACGUGGAUAACCUACCUAUAAGACUGGGAUAACUUCGGGAAACCGGAGCUAAUACCGGAUAAUAUAUUGAACCGCAUGGUUCAAUAGUGAAAGACGGUUUUGCUGUCACUUAUAGAUGGAUCCGCGCCGCAUUAGCUAGUUGGUAAGGUAACGGCUUACCAAGGCAACGAUGCGUAGCCGACCUGAGAGGGUGAUCGGCCACACUGGAACUGAGACACGGUCCAGACUCCUACGGGAGGCAGCAGUAGGGAAUCUUCCGCAAUGGGCGAAAGCUUGACGGAGCAACGCCGCGUGAGUGAUGAAGGUCUUCGGAUCGUAAAACUCUGUUAUUAGGGAAGAACAAAUGUGUAAGUAACUAUGCACGUCUUGACGGUACCUAAUCAGAAAGCCACGGCUAACUACAUG
Molecule: ribosomal RNA, 497 nt
Filed under: uncultured bacterium
Lineage: Bacteria
Description: partial 16S ribosomal RNA
Rfam family: Bacterial small subunit ribosomal RNA
Source: RNAcentral